Long non-coding RNA from Anastrepha obliqua, 1372 nucleotides. RefSeq lists it as uncharacterized. The record is from RefSeq and is a predicted model, not a curated record. NCBI's taxonomy places the organism in Eukaryota, Metazoa, Arthropoda, Insecta, Diptera, Tephritidae. The transcript has 3 exons.
GUGGAACAUUCACUCACUACCCUGCCAAUAUUAACAAAAUCCUAUUCUGAGGAGGAAGAAAGAAUCCGUAAUCUCGCUGGCUUUUAUUUAUAGAUUUAUCAAACGAAUCACUUAUUUCCAUAUCCAUGUAUCCUAUUAUUUAAAAAGGUAAAAAUUACCAAAAAAAAAAAAAAAAACAUUCCCACAACCUUUUUAGUUAUACUUACUGGCAGAAAUCUGUUGCCAGAAUGAAAAAAGGGCACGUGUUACACAACUUGUAAAAUAAGCACUCACUAUACUACUGAGAAAACAUACAUUGCGUGUACCGGUCUGAACGAGAAAAAUCACGCGCCAACAUAGGAAGUUUUUCUUCAAAUAAACGUCUCUAUAAUUCCUCCAAUUCAAUGUUCCAAAAGAUAUUCAGCCCUGUCAUAGAGUUCGUCGUGGAAAACCUUCGAUAUUUUCAUAUUUCGACAACAGCUCACUUCAAUGUAAACAAAACAAUUUAGCAAGUUUUUUGACAAGUUAGUUGAAUUUUCAAAUUAAAUUGUAUUCGUUGACAUGUGCGGUUGUGUUGAUGGAGGAGGAAAGUAAGAGAAGCAAACGGAGUCUCAAAAUUGAGCGAAUAAUAUUGUGGGAUGCAAGCAACCCUCUCGAUAUGGACGAACCAAUGUAAAUGCUUGCCUUUUUGUUAAAGAAAAAGUUUACUUAAAUACGGUUUAAAAUAGCCUUAUCAAAAAUUACCGGUUAAAUAAAGCUGCCUUUAUAUACGUUUUGUCUUUAUUGAAGGCAGCGCUCAGCAAGAUCAUCAUCCAUGACCUCAGUUCUCCGGCUAUCGUCUUUUUUACGGUUUCUUGCAGAAGGAGGCUAUCAGCACGGAGUUGGCAAAUAUUUCGAAGUGCCAAUGGGGCAGUCGGCAUUUAGCUAUGUGCUAAAAGACGUAUUGACGCCACUACAAACACGAUUGUGUGCCAAGGGGGAAGUCUUAAUAGCAGUGCCAAUGAAAAACGGCAAAGCAAGAUGGAGUUCUAUCAAAUAUAUAGAUGUCUUGCAUCAUUUUGUGUGUGGAUGAGACGCACUUAAAAAUUAUUUCCCCAAUAAAGAAAAAUUCCUCUACUACAACCGGAAGGGCUACUACAGUAUCAAUGACAUGAUUAUAUUUGACAAUACCAUAAAAUGAGAAUCUGCUACUUGAACGCGCAAUAUUCCGGGAGCAACCACCAACCUCAUAUAUGGAAUGUGAGCUAUGGGAGAUCCUUUUUUGAGAGGAAAUAUCUAGAAGGGGAACGAAAUACUUGGAUACUAGGAUACGUUGGAUACGCCUUGGAACUUUGGCUGAUAACACGUUUUCGUCCAAAUUUUAACACAAAACUUUUGUGGUCUUCAAUAAAAU